GCUGUCGUCAGCUCGUGUUGUGAAAUGUUGGGUUAAGUCCCGCAACGAGCGCAACCCUUAUCCUUUGUUGCCAGCGGUCCGGCCGGGAACUCAAAGGAGACUGCCAGUGAUAAACUGGAGGAAGGUGGGGAUGACGUCAAGUCAUCAUGGCCCUUACGACCAGGGCUACACACGUGCUACAAUGGCGCAUACAAAGAGAAGCGACCUCGCGAGAGCAAGCGGACCUCAUAAAGUGCGUCGUAGUCCGGAUUGGAGUCUGCAACUCGACUCCAUGAAGUCGGAAUCGCUAGUAAUCGUGGAUCAGAAUGCCACGGUGAAUACGUUCCCGGGCCUUGUACACACCGCCCGUCACACCAUGGGAGUGGGUUGCAAAAGAAGUAGGUAGCUUAACCUUCGGGAGGGCGCUUACCACUUUGUGAUUCAUGACUGGGGUGAAGUCGUAACAAGGUAACCGUAGGGGAACCUGCGGUUGGAUCACC
This 479-nucleotide ribosomal RNA is filed under the name Escherichia coli. RNAcentral describes it as "bacterial SSU rRNA". It matches the Rfam family "Bacterial small subunit ribosomal RNA", at positions 1048 to 1527 of the family's 1533-position model. The record is from RNAcentral. Lineage: Bacteria; Pseudomonadati; Pseudomonadota; Gammaproteobacteria; Enterobacterales; Enterobacteriaceae.